GGCCCCAUAGACUAGUGGUUAGGUCACCACCCUUUCAAGGUGGUUGCACGGGUUCGAAUCCCGUUGGGGUCA
RNAcentral lists this transfer RNA (72 nucleotides) under Chlorobiales bacterium. RNAcentral describes it as "tRNA-Glu". It matches the Rfam family "tRNA". From Rfam's summary of the family: Transfer RNA (tRNA) molecules are approximately 80 nucleotides in length. Their secondary structure includes four short double-helical elements and three loops (D, anti-codon, and T loops). The record is from RNAcentral. Lineage: Bacteria; Pseudomonadati; Chlorobiota; Chlorobiia; Chlorobiales.